Molecule: ribosomal RNA, 400 nt
Filed under: uncultured bacterium
Lineage: Bacteria
Description: bacterial SSU rRNA
Rfam family: Bacterial small subunit ribosomal RNA
Source: RNAcentral
UGGGGAAUUUUGGACAAUGGGCGCAAGCCUGAUCCAGCAAUGCCGCGUGUGUGAAGAAGGCCUUCGGGUUGUAAAGCACUUUUGGCAGGAAAGAAAUCGUGCGUGCUAAUACCAUGCGCGGAUGACGGUACCUGCAGAAUAAGCACCGGCUAACUACGUGCCAGCAGCCGCGGUAAUACGUAGGGUGCGAGCGUUAAUCGGAAUUACUGGGCGUAAAGCGUGCGCAGGCGGCUUUGUAAGACGGAUGUGAAAGCCCCGGGCUCAACCUGGGAAGUGCAUUCGUGACUGCAAGGCUAGAGUGUGUCAGAGGGGGGUGGAAUUCCGCGUGUAGCAGUGAAAUGCGUAGAGAUGCGGAGGAACACCGAUGGCGAAGGCAGCCUCCUGGGAUAACACUGACGCU